This 8897-nucleotide long non-coding RNA is filed under the name Sorghum bicolor (sorghum). Its description in RNAcentral is "long non-coding RNA (SBIC_LNC012694)". Lineage: Eukaryota; Viridiplantae; Streptophyta; Magnoliopsida; Poales; Poaceae. The record is from RNAcentral.
GGGGAUGACAACUUGGCUUAAGUGGUGUGAGGGAUAGGUUUGGCAUUUUUGGCACCGUUACUAGAUUUAGAGAACUUAGUCUACUUUUGGUAAUGAUGUUAAGAAUACCCAACAAGCAUUUUUGGCGCCGUUGCCGGGGAAGGUUGAUUACUAAUCAGGAAUGGAAUAAAAGAUUUUGAGUUAUCAUUCGCAUCACUAAUAUGAUUGAGCUUAUCUAUUCUCUCAUACAGUUUUACCCCGAUAUUUUCCUAUUUCAUCUUAUGCAGGGGAAUGUAUGAAUAGAAGACAUCUUCCAGAAAAUUUUGUUGACAAUCCCGAAGCAUUAUUCAAGAAGACGAGAGCCAAGCUAAAGAAAUCAUCAACACUUCAGCAAGAAGCUUCAUCCAAUCAAGAAGAUCACCGGAACUUGUCUUCAAAGUUUGAAGCCAUGGCGAACAAAUCAAUCCGCGAGUUCUUAGCUCCCACUACAGACAACAUCCGCACUGGACCUGCUGCAGAGAUCGAUGGCAACUUUGAGCUCAAGCCUGGACUUAUCAACAUGGUGCAAUCCAACCAGUUCUGUGGGAAGGCACACGAAGAUGCUAGUGCUCAUUUACAACACUUCCUGGAGAUUUGCAAUACAUUCACCAUAUCAGGAGUUUCCAAAGAUGCUAUACUACUUCGCCUCUUCCCAUUCUCACUCUUAGGAAGAGCGAAGCAGUGGUUCUACGCUACAAAGGAGAAGAAUACUACGUGGGCACUCUGCUCAACAAACUUUCUGGCAAAGUUCUUUCCCAUGGGCAAGACCAAUGCUUUUCGUGGGAAGAUUACAAGUUUUCAGCAACAAAAUGAUGAAUCUGUUCCAGAAGCAUGGGAGCGCUUUAAAGACUACAUCCUAGAAUGUCCCCAUCAUGGAAUGGAGAGUUGGCUAUUAAUGCAGACAUUUUAUCAUGGGCUCGGCAACAGUGCCCGAGAGACUAUGGAUGCUGCAGCUGGAGGAGCAUUCUUAUCACUUACAAUACCACAAGCCACAGCUCUUGUGGAGAAGAUGGCGUCCAACCAAAGCUGGAAUGAAGAGAGGACCCAGACACGCAAGAGAGGUGGAGGUAUGCAUCAGCUGAAAGAGGUAGACAUGCUGUCUGCAAAGCUAGACCUGCUCAUGAAGAAGCUCGAUGAUAGAGCUGGAGACAAGAAAGAAGUUAUGCACAUCUACGACUCUCACAUGACUUGUGAGGAGUGUGGAGACACUUGACACUCAGGCAACCACUGCCCUGAGAUGCUUGAGGAUGUGAACUACAUCAACAACAACAACAACUACUACAACCGUCCUCAACAAAAUCAAGGUUGGAAUCAACAGAGGCCUAACUACUCAGGUAAUUAUCAAGGUAACAAUUCUUACAACAAUAAUGCUAAUAAUUUUCCACCUUUGAGAGAGUUAGUGUCUAAUCAAGGAAAGCUAAUGGAUAACCUAUCUAAGAAAUUGGCAUCUAAUGAUAAAAUGCUAGAAAAUAUAAAUAAUAGAAUGGAUAAUUUCUCUACUGCCAUCAAGAAUCAAAUUAGCUUUAAUAAAAUGAUUGAAUCUCAGUUAAAUCAAAUAGCUGCUGCUGUUCCUACUACUAACCCCGGUAUACCAUCACAACCGGAAGGAUUAGAAUCUGCAAAUCUUGUAGACACGUUUGAUGCAGGUAAUUAGAGUAACACCGUCACUGAAUUCUCUACUGACCUUCUGCCGGUCAAGAGAGGCGAUCCAGGACGCCCCGUCAUCCCGAUCUCUAUCGGCAUGGUGGACGUUCCAGAAGCACUCUGCGACUUUGGCUCCAGUGUCAACAUUAUACCCAGGGUACUCUAUGAAAAAUUCUUUACAUAUCCUUUAUUAGAAACAACCAUGUGUUUGCAGUUUGCAGAUCAGAUGAUAACUUUUCCAAAAGGAAUAGUGAAGAACCUUUGUGUCCGAGUUGGUACCUUAUAUGCCCCAGCAGACUUCGUAGUGGUAGAGACCGGAAAUGAUGAGAGAGCACCUAUCAUCUUAGGGAGGCCAUUCUUGAACACCACGGGAGCUAUCAUCUACGCUAGUGCUGCUAAGAUCAGUUUCUACGUCAAAGGGAAGAAGGAGACAUUUUUCUUCAAGAACAAGACUACACAAAUUCCAGAUCAUCCAGACGUCAAUCAAGGAAGAGGACCAACAGGAGGAACAGGAACAAGCAAGUGUGGACCGAGUCAGCUAAGAUGGUCACUGUAGUUCAUGGAGGCCAAGAUCACCAACUUAAGUCACCGCUUUUGACCAAGAAGGACGACCCAGGAAUGCCAAGCAUCUACUGCUCCAUACAUGGAUAUAGCUUCUACAAGACGAUUUGCGACACCGGAUCGGGCGUCAACAUAAUGGCCGCAGUCACCUAUCGGCUCUUGUUCGGGACCAUGCCACUAAGAACAACAUACAUUCAGCUCCAGAUGGCAGAUCAGACAUUUCGAGAAGUUAAAGGAACAGUAACUGAUGUCCCAGUCAAAAUAGACAAUAACUUUGUCUACACAGACUUUCAAGUUGUUGACAUGGGAGAAGAUGAGUACGAUCCACCCAUCAUCCUUGGAAGACCGUUCCUCAGCACCGUUAAAGCGAUUAUCUACAUUGGAACCGGAGAAGUCCAUAUGCACUUCGCCUCAGAGAAGGUACGCCAUUAUUUUACUGACCCUAACUAUAUCAUUGAAGAAUCUAAGCAGGUAAGAAAGCGACGCAACCGCAACCAGAGGAGGAAGAUCAUCAAGGACGGAUGGGCAGACUACGAAGGAGAAGUUAUAAGGUCAGAAAACGUAGAGUUUAAACAGAAUUAUCCAGAGGAGACCGAAGCACCAAGUCAGGUGUGGAAAAUGAAGAUAACUAUACAUGAAGAGGAGGCGCCGCCGGAAGUACCGACUACGCCACCCAACGAACCUCAGGACGAUUAAGAAAAUGGAGAGUCCCGUUCGGAGGACUUAAAAACACCGAACGCCUUGCCGAGAGGUAAACUUGGUAGUUAUCCUUUCCCUUUCAAUUAUUUCAACUAGUUUACAUAGUUAAUCAUGUUCGUACUAUCUUAAAAAUAAAAGAAAAUAAAAAUGCGAAAAACAGUAAGCCCCAUAUGAGUAUGCGAGUGGCAUAAAACCCAUAAGUACAUUCACUGUGGUGGCAUAAAAAAAUAAAAUAAAAAUUCCUUUUCUGCUUUAUAAAAUAAAAAUAUAAAAAUAGGGAGUAAUAAUUAUUAAGGAGUCUCAACAUGAUAAAGGCUAGAUAUUUAUGCUAACACUUAAUCAGUUCCACAAGCUUUGUUGUCUAUUUGAAACUCCACAGAAUUUAAGAAUCAAGAAGACUAGCAGACGGAGGACAUUCUAAUCGCUGUCAGAAUGCUGCUGACUUUCAAAUACACCUCUACCACCUACUAGCUACAUCAAGAGAAAUUACGUCAAAAUUCAGCUUGGGGGAGAGCACCUCCAUUUAUCCCGAUAAGUAUUUCUAUCUAUCUUUAUACUUAUAUUAUAUUAGAAUAUUAAAUAUACAUAAACUAUAAAAAACCAAAUAAAGAUUUUAAGCUUAUAUAUAUCUUUUGCUUAGUGUGUUUAAUAAAUAAAUAAAGUGGCUAUGCUAAUCUGUAUCUAAAUAAAACUUAAGCAUGGAUAUGAUGAAUAGUUGCUCUGCCUAAUUUGCACAUUUUAAGUUCUCUCUCAAGUUUAGAUAUAACUGUUAUAAUUUAAAGCUUGCUCUAGACCUAAACUUGUGGGAUGAAAACUUGAUCUGAAGUCUAAGUUGUUAACGGAUAUGAUAUGGGAAGGUUGAGCUGCUGUUUAUCUGUUCCUAGAGAUGCUAGAAUUCUGGAGAAUUUUAUCUUUGAAAAUCUUUAAAAUGUUGCAUGAUGAGUUUCUGUAUGAUGAUAGUUUAAAUUCCUACCACAGCCAUAUAUACAUGCUUGCUAGACUUUGAGCCACACAUUUACUAUUUACUGCUUAUGAGCAUUGAGUGUGGUCAAGCUGUGUAGACCCUUAGGAGCUUGUCAUGUGGUUAAAUCAAGAUUCACUUGCACGUUCACUCAUAUAUUCUACUUCUAUUCCGGAAGUACCAUCCACAUAUAUCCAUCCAUUCCAUCUCCAGAAUCACCCAAAAAUAUUCUACUCCUAAUCCGGGAGAGAAUAGCCAAAAAUAUUUCUGUUUUCCCUUGUGAAAUAAAUGCUCAAGUUAUCUUGUUACUACCACUUGCUAUAUUAUCUCAUGAGAUGAGUGCUUUCUAAAAAAAAGAGAUACGAGGAAAUAAAAAGAAGCAAGUGCUCGGAACCUCGAUAGAAAAAAGAGAGUGAGACGAGAGGUAAAAAUGGAAAAGUGUUCGACGGUAGAAUUAGGGGUACAAGAUACCCACCUGAGAGAAAAGAAAAAGAAGAGCAUCUCAUUCUCCUCAUAAAGUUUCAAAAAAGCAAGAAAGGUAUGUAUCCCCUCAAAAGAGCAAAGUAGAAUUAGACUUCCACCACCAUUGUUUUCACCAUUGUUAUCACCAUCAUCACCAUACAUCAUUCAUUCGCCACACAUGCACAUCUUCAUUAAACUCAUUGGCUUGUUUCUUUGGAUCCAUGGUUUGACUAUACAAUACAUGUCUUGUAAGUAUGUAUACUUUAUCUCCCACGUAUGAGCUCCAGAUAUUAAAGCCUUAUUAGAGUAGGGUGAGAGAGAAGCAAUGUCACUAUGCUUUAUACCACAAAUACUACAUAUAUCGAGAGAAGGCAUAUACCAUUACUGCCUUGGUAAGGAUCCAGAAAUACCACAAAAGAGAGAUCUGAGAGAAUCAUACAAGGAAUUCUGAGUUUUAUUUGAAAAUCUGCAAAAACCCCAGAGCUAUAGCUGAUCAAGAAUAAGAGACAUGGCACUUGACUAGACUGUUCUAUCUUUUAACCACUCAAGAUAGAAGUGACGGUUACAAGUCCCGUGGUAGAAGGUAAAGUAAGUAAGUUUUAAGUCUUCACAGUUUACUCUAACUCAGAGAUGAGAUCUUAUUUAAAAAGCAUGUGUACCGUCAAUUAUUAAAAAAAAUAUUGCAACAACUUAUGAUCCAUAGCUGAGUCUAUCCUUGCUCAGGGACGAGCAAGAGGUAAGCUUGGGGGAGUUUGUUGACGGUCCUUAAGUAUCAAAUUUAAUUAUCAAAUAAAUAAAGAAAGGGAUCCAAAUGAAAUCAACAUCUAGACUUAGGGUUUUAUCUGACAGAAUUCCACGAGUUUUGGUGUUUGUCUAUUUCUGCAGGGGGUUAUCAGGAAAUACGGAAGAAAGGCCCACACGUCGGGAUUACAUAGAGAUAUUAACGUGUUGCGCAAUUAUCUUACAUCUAGAAGACUCCAGAAGCCACGAGACCGAAGCGGAGGCGAAACGGGGCCAGAGGCAGGGCGCCCGCCCUCCUGCCCUGGGCGCCCGCCCCCUCUGGGAGUCCAAUCGGGACUCUGCUUUGCGGGAGAUUUCCACCUACCUAAAGGAUGAAUCUAAACCAUAAAAUCUAUGUCGGUUUGAUCCAAUGGCCCAUAUUCACUUGAAGGGACUAUAAAACCAGACCCCCUGGCCCCUGGAGGAGAGAGCCUCUCAACCCUAAUUCAUUAUUUCUCAAGGGAGAAGAAGCCCCUGAUCAAGAUUAGAGCCACCACAUCAAUUAGAUAUCUAGAUUAGCAUAGCUACAUAGGAUUAGAACUAGAAGGAGUCAAUCUUCGAUUGGUUUCCGGAUCUGUCAAGAGGAUUCUUGGUAAUUCUCUAAUUGUGCUUCUAAUUGCUUUCUAAUUAUCUUUGUUCUUCAAUAUUAUGAGUAUGACUUUGUUCUACUUCAAUAUAUUGCUUAUGACUUUGCUCUACUUGCUUAUAUUCAAGAUUAUAUUGUUCUUAGUUUAUCAUAGUUAUGUACUUGGCUUAGUUAGAUUCGAUCUAUAUACAUGCUUAGGAUCGUAUAGCGUUUAUCCAUCGGAUCCAUGGGUAAAUGAUAGAUAUUGUGUAGGCGUGGUGCUUAUACCGUAUUUAUCUGCGAUUGUACCCAAUAUGCCAGAUCGUGGGGUAGUUCGUGAUAGUGACAGCUUCAUUGAUUCUUAUAUAGUCCCCCUCUCGUGUAUUGGGCUGGCAGAGCAACAUUAUUACAGGGGAGUGAUUGCUAUGUUUCUCAUAUUCCUUGCUAAUAUCACUAUGCAUGGGCGUAGUCUUGUCUCGCAAUGAUUGCUAAGUAUGCUUGCACUAACUAUGAUAAUGCUAGACUAUAUAGUUGAGAAUAACUUAGGGAAUAUUCUUGUAGUUCGUUCUAAUACCAUGCUAAUGACUUUCUAGAGUAUCUAAUUGAGGUGCUUAUCAUAUUUAUUAUGUGGCUAGAUCAGAUUAAUUAUCCUUGUCACUAUUAUUAUUUCAUAUAUCUUUUAUGUGACACUUAUCCCUGUAUGAUGAGUUAGAUAUAAUGUUCUCAAUUAUACAUGCAAUGAUAGAUGCUCAAUCUCAUAUUCUAUUCUGUAAUCAAUAUUGAUGAUUGCUAAUCCCUUCCCAGUGGUAAAAAUAUAAAUAACGAUACCUGGAAUACAUUCCGGUUAAAACGCUGCAUCGGUAUUAAUCUGUGCGCUUGCAGAUCCCAUUCAUUAUUUAUUUAGAAGAGCAAUUGCAUAUUUCAAUACCGCGUCUCUUAUAUCAUGCUGGGGAUGACAACUUGGCUUAAGUGGUGUGAGGGAUAGGUUUGGCAUUUUUGGCACCGUUACUAGAUUUAGAGAACUUAGUCUACUUUUGGUAAUGAUGUUAAGAAUACCCAACAAAGUCAAAUCAAGAUGUGCAUGUGUGGCGAAUGAAUGGUGUAUGAUGAUGAUGCUGAUAAUGGUGAAAACAAUGGUGAAUGUCUAAUUCUACUUUUGCUCUUUUGAGGGGAUACAUACCUUUCUUGCACUUUGAAGCUUUUUGAGGGAAAUGAGAUGCUCUAUAUUUUCUUUUUCUUUUCUCUCAGGUGGGUAUCUUGUACCCCUAAUUCUACUAUCGGACACUUGUCCAUUUUUACCUCUCGUCUCACUUUUUCUUUUCUUCGAGGUUCCAGGCACUUGCCCCUUUUUAUUUUCUCAUAUUUUUCUUUUUUUUAGAGCACUCAUCCUCCUGGAAUAAUAUAGCAAGUGGUAGUAACCAAAGUAUUUGGAGCAUUUAAUUUCACAGGGAAUAACAGGGAUAGGAGAAUGUUUUUGGCUAUUCUCUCCCGGAUAGGAGUAGAAUAUUUUUAGGUGAAUCUAGAGAUGGAAGUGAGUGGAUGGAUGUGGAUGCGUACUUCCGGAGUAGAAGUAGCAUAUAUGAGUGAACGUGCAAGUGAAUCUUGAUUUUAACCGCAUUACAAGCUCCUAAGGCCCUACACAGCUUGACCACACUCAAUGCUCAUAAGCAGUAAAAAGUAAAUGUAUAGUUCAUAGUCUAAUAAGCAUGUAUAUGUGGCUGUGGUAGGAUUUUAAACUCUCAUCAUACAGGAACUCAUCAUGCAACAUUUUAAAUAUUUUCAAAGAUAAAAUUCUCUAGAAUUCUAGCAUCUCUAGGAACAUAUAAAUAGCAGCUCAACCUUCCCAGAUCGUAUCUGUUAACGACUUAAGAUCAAGUACUCUUCCCACAAGUUCAGGUUUAGAGCAAAUCUUAAUUCAAAACAGUCAUGCCUAAACUUGAGAGAGAAUUCAAUUUUGAGAACUAGUCAUGGUAGAGCAACUAUUCAUCAUUUCCAUGUGAGCGCUUAUCAUGAGGGUUCAUAGCAAACUUUAUUUAUUUAUUUAUUUAGCAAACUAAGCAAAGAUAUAUAUAAGCACAAAAAUCUUUAUUUGGAUUUUUGUGAGUAUGCAUCUUUUUAUUAUUUGAGUAAAGUAUAAACGCGAGUAGAAACACUUAGCUAGUUAAAUGGGGGUGCUCUCCCCCAAGCUGGAUUUUGACGUAAUUUCUUCUGAUGCAGCUAGCAGGUGGCGGAGGUGUAUUUGAAUGUCGGCAGCACCCUGACAACGAUUAGGACGUCCUUCGUCUGCUAGUCUUUUUUUAUCCUUGAAUUCUGUGGAGCUCAAAUAGACAACAAAGCUUUGUGGAACUAGUUAAGUGUUAGCAUAAAUAUCUAGCCUUUAUCAUGUUGAGCCUCCUCAAUAAAUGUUAUUCUCUUUAGUGGGAUCACAAUCUUAUUUUUAUAUUUUCAUUUUUAUAGGACAGGAAUAUAUUUAUUUUAUUUUUACGCCACCACAGUGAAUGUACUUAUGGGUUUUAUGCCACGAGCAUGCUCACAUGGGGCUUACUAUUUUUAAUAUUUUUAUUUUCUUUUCAAGAUAGCAUGAUUAACUAACAAGCCAUUUAAGGUAAGUAAAUAAUUUAAGGGAAAAGGGAAUGCAGAAAGGAUAAAUAUGGAUAACUACCGAUUUUACCUUUCAGCGAGGGUUCAAUGUUUUAAGUCUUCUGAACAAGACUUCUCAUCAUGUUCAUUCUUUAGGUGUGUCAUUUGAUUCAGGUGUGGACCUUGACAUCUGCACCUCUUGAUACGGUGUCACCCAUGUUCUUCGUUUGCCCAGCAGUUUGAAGUGUGGCGUUGGCAGCAUCCUGCUCGGUGUGUUUGUGCUCGUAGAUCCACGUCCUUCACUUGGCGGAAUCUGGGAGUUGUAAAACUCCACCAUGUUUUGCUCCAAGUCUACCUACUCAUAGAGACAAGGCAGAGAUCAAGUGCAUAGGCUCUGUUGGUGGAAAACACCAACAAAACCAAAAGUGUAUUUGUUCUUCUCUAACCUUAAGCAUAGUGAGCAAGACAAAUUUGAUGGAUAAUAAUUUCAUGAGUGUAACAUUUAAAAUAUUUGUCAGAUUAGAUCGCUCAACCUUAUUGAAUAAUCUAUCUAUGUAUAUGUCUUUUUCUUUAUAUCUUCCCAAAGAUUGAAUGUGCAACACUUUAGCUCAUAUGAUUAGGAGUGUA